GACAGCCAUGGGUGUUGGUGUUGAGGCAGUACCACCGCAUCAGCUCUUUAAUGGUCGGCGCCUGAGGGCCCGUCACGGGCAGAUUCUUCUUGAUUUUGGCUUUGAUCUUCUCUCCGGGUGCCAUGGCGAGGAUGGGACUUUGAGGACGGGACUCUGAGGACGGGCGUGCUGGAGGGGCAAAGAAGAGAAGCAGGGUCUGCCUCUGUCACCUUGGCUGGAGUGCAGUGCUGCAAUCAUAGCUCACUGUAGCUGCCAACUACUGGGCUCAAGCGAGCCUCCCACUUCAGCGUCUCAAAUAGCUGGAAUUACAGAGAAUGCAGGCUUCUCCAGAGCAGGCAUUUCUGCCUUUUGUUCACUGCUCUAUCCUCAAUCUGAAGAACAGUGCCUGGCACACAAUGGGAGCUCAACACAUAUUUUGUGAGUGAACAAAGGGAAGUUUUCUCCAUGUUGCCCAGGCUGCUCUGGAACUCCUGGGAUCAAGCAGUUGCCUGCCUUGGCCUCCCAAAGUGCUGGGAUUACAGACAUGAGCCAGCACACCCAGCCAGCUUUUUCAUAUGCUUAAAAAACUUCACAAUAAAAAGUUUAGAAAGUAAGAAGUAGAAUAACAUAUGUGGUAAUACGUGUAAUAUAAAUAUGUAUAAUGUAUAAAAUAUACUUUGUGGUAGUAUCAAUGACAUAAUAUGUACAUUUGUAGGUUUUUUAUUCAUUUACAGAUGAAGAUAAUCUGUUGCUCCAUGGUCAAAUCAAUAGCUAACCCGAUGAUUGAUUGAUCUUUUACAAUGUUUUUAAGCAUCUUUUGGUAAAUAAUCAAUUUAAAUUAGCAGGAGGGAAUUUUGCUAUUUGAACAGGUAUUAAUGGUUUAAGGACUGUCUGUUUUUAAAUACUUUGAAAUGUGCUUAAAUUUUGUUUAAUAAUAUGUUAAGCAAUAUUUAAAUAUUAAAAUUUUGCUCAAUAAUCACUAACCCCAGACAAAAAAAUUUCACCUCAUUGUUAACAAUUUUGUGUAUUCUUUUAGGCUUAAAAAUUAUUAUGUAAAUAUAGAAAACUACAUAUAUGACCUAAGUGGGCUUAUAUUUUUCUGUAAUUUUUUUUCACUUAACUAUAAAUUAUGGUAAUCUUUCCCUGUAAAUCCAUAAAGAGGUAUCUUAUUCUUUUUAACCAGCCUCACAGUGUUUCCAGUACUUCUUGGUCUAUAGAUAUUUUUCCUUAUCCCAUUUAGAUGGCAAGUUUUCAUGAAAAUGUGAUAUAAUUAUGCAAAAAACGUUUAAAGUUUAAAGUGAAAAGAGAAUCUUUGAAGAGAUUCCAGGUUUUCUCCAGACCAUGCUAAUCAGGUUUCCCCCCUCAAUUUAAUUCAAGAUAUUUCAUAGAAGCCUUCAAAUUUUAUUUUCUAAAACACUAGAUCAUGAUGUUAUUGGUGACCCUCUGGGGUUGGACAGGGUGCAAUCAAUUAAGAUUACAGUCAGCUCUGAGUAUUAGGAGCCCAGAUUAAUCGUGACUUAAACAACUAAGUCGGCUCAGGUGGAAAUUUAUAACUCUAAUGCAUAUUUUUUUUGUUUAUUUGUUUAUUUAUUUAUUUAUUUUUUAGAGGGAGUUUCACUCUUGUUGCCCAGCCUGGAGUGCAAUGGCACGAUCUCAGUUCUCUGGAACCUCUGUCUCCCGGGUUCAAGCAAUUCUUCUGCCUCAGCCUCCCAAGUAGCUGGGA
This is a long non-coding RNA of Homo sapiens (human), 1702 nucleotides long. Lineage: Eukaryota; Metazoa; Chordata; Mammalia; Primates; Hominidae. The record is from Ensembl.